GACGAACGCUGGCGGCAUGCCUAACACAUGCAAGUGGAGCGACGAACCAGGGCUUGCCCUGGGGCGAAGCCGCGAACGGGUGAGUAACACGUGGGUAACCUGCCCCGAUGACUGGGACAACCCGAGGAAACUCGGGCUAAUACCGGAUGUGCUGCACACACAUCAGUGUGAGUAGUAAAGGAAGCUUCGGCCUCCGCAUUGGGAUGGGCCCGCGGCCCAUUAGCUUGUUGGUGAGGUAACGGCUCACCAAGGCGACGAUGGGUAGCUGGUCUGAGAGGACGAUCAGCCACACUGGGACUGAGACACGGCCCAGACUCCUACGGGAGGCAGCAGUGGGGAAUCUUGCGCAAUGCGCGAAAGCGUGACGCAGCAAUGCCGCGUGAGGGAAGAAGGCUCUCGGGUUGUAAACCUCUUUCAGGAGGGACGAAGGUGCGGCGGUUAACAGCCGACCGUACUGACGGUACCUCCAGAAGAAGCCCCGGCUAACUACGUGCCAGCCGCCGCGGUAAAAC
This 512-nucleotide ribosomal RNA is filed under the name uncultured bacterium. Its description in RNAcentral is "bacterial SSU rRNA". It matches the Rfam family "Bacterial small subunit ribosomal RNA", at positions 28 to 526 of the family's 1533-position model. The record is from RNAcentral.